UGACAGGUGUGCUGGUGUCAACAGGA
Molecule: non-coding RNA, 26 nt
Filed under: Homo sapiens (human)
Lineage: Eukaryota; Metazoa; Chordata; Mammalia; Primates; Hominidae
Source: RNAcentral